This 448-nucleotide ribosomal RNA is filed under the name uncultured bacterium. RNAcentral describes it as "partial 16S ribosomal RNA". It matches the Rfam family "Bacterial small subunit ribosomal RNA", at positions 29 to 523 of the family's 1533-position model. The record is from RNAcentral.
AACGAACGCUGGCGGCAUGCCUAACACAUGCAAGUCGAACGAAGGCUUCGGCCUUAGUGGCGCACGGGUGAGUAACGCGUGGGAAACUGCCUAUUGGUGGGGAAUAACGACGGGAAACUGUCGCUAAUACCGCAUAAGCCCUUCGGGGAAAGAUUUAUCGCCGAUAGAUGUGCCCGCGUCCGAUUAGCUAGUUGGUGAGGUAAUGGCUCACCAAGGCGACGAUCGGUAGCUGGUCUGAGAGGAUGAUCAGCCACACUGGGACUGAGACACGGCCCAGACUCCUACGGGAGGCAGCAGUGGGGAAUAUUGGACAAUGGGCGAAAGCCUGAUCCAGCAAUGCCGCGUGAGUGAUGAAGGCCUUAGGGUUGUAAAGCUCUUUCGGGUGGGACGAUGAUGACGGUACCACCAGAAGAAGCCCCGGCUAACUUCGUGCCAGCCGCCGCGGUAA